GGCCCUUCGGGGACCUCCGAUAAAAUUGGAACGAUGCUGAAAAAAUUAGCAUAGCCCCCACAUAAGGAUGACACGCAUAAAUCGAGAAAUGGAAAUUAUCGAA
Molecule: small nuclear RNA, 103 nt
Organism: Salvia hispanica
Lineage: Eukaryota; Viridiplantae; Streptophyta; Magnoliopsida; Lamiales; Lamiaceae
Source: RefSeq, a predicted model, not a curated record